Arabidopsis thaliana (thale cress) is the source of this 615-nucleotide long non-coding RNA. RefSeq annotates it as other RNA. The transcript is spliced from 2 exons. NCBI's taxonomy places the organism in Eukaryota, Viridiplantae, Streptophyta, Magnoliopsida, Brassicales, Brassicaceae. The record is from RefSeq.
CGUCGCUUACACAUCACAUUGUAGUGUUAUAUCCUUUAACCGACAAGAUUGAUCGUAUGAUCCCCCGGAUUCAACGAGAUCACAACACGAUCACACCACGUCGGGGAUGCCACGAUUUGAGGAAUUGGUUGGAAACUAAGAGCUAGAUAUUCAUAGGAUGCAUUGAGAACCAUAUGCGCGGAAGAUGAUUGCCACUAACCACCAAGUAUCCCGGAAAAUUGAACGAUAUGGCCUCUAACCACAAACUAUCCCGGAAAAUUGAACGAGAUGCAACCUACACCGGGAUCUGCAUUUAGUGGAAAGACAAGGGUCUCGAGUGCAGAGAGAGGCAUGGGUCUUCAAUCUUGACCGGAUUGGGUAAAUCGAUGAUUCAACACUUCUACACAAGUCAUAUUUACCCUAAAGUACCACAAUGCAACCUAGAUUCUUUUUUUUGUCAACAACACGCAACAUGCGAGUUCGAAUAUGGGUGGUGACAAAGUGAGUACACUAGCACCACCUGAGUACUUAAAGAUGUUUUAUUUUUGAGGCCGAUUACAAUAAAGCGCACGGCGAGUAAUAUUUUGCAUAAGACCUCACUAGUUUUCAAUCUAUGUGUUUAAGUUUACAUGGGAA